This 348-nucleotide unclassified non-coding RNA is filed under the name soil metagenome. RNAcentral's name for it is "partial contains 5.8S ribosomal RNA, internal transcribed spacer 2, and large subunit ribosomal RNA". The stretch from base 1 to 120 matches the Rfam family "5.8S ribosomal RNA", at positions 35 to 154 of the family's 154-position model. The record is from RNAcentral.
GAUGAAGAACGCAGCGAAAUGCGAUAAUUAAUGUGAAUUGCAGAAUUCAGUGAAUCAUCGAGUCUUUGAACGCACAUUGCGCCCCCUGGUAUUCCGGGGGGCAUGCCUGUCCGAGCGUCAUUGCUGCCCUCAAGCACGGCUUGUGUGUUGGGCCCCGCCCCCCGGCUCCCGGGGGGCGGGCCCGAAAGGCAGCGGCGGCACCGCGUCCGGUCCUCGAGCGUAUGGGGCUUCGUCACCCGCUCCGUAGGCCCGGCCGGCGCCCGCCGGCGACCCCCCUCAAUCUUUUCAGGUUGACCUCGGAUCAGGUAGGGAUACCCGCUGAACUUAAGCAUAUCAAUAAGCGGAGGA